This 253-nucleotide ribosomal RNA is filed under the name uncultured bacterium. RNAcentral describes it as "partial 16S ribosomal RNA". It matches the Rfam family "Bacterial small subunit ribosomal RNA", at positions 524 to 776 of the family's 1533-position model. The record is from RNAcentral. RNAcentral also lists the same sequence under 1 other name.
UACGAAGGGGACUAGCGUUGUUCGGAAUCACUGGGCGUAAAGCGCACGUAGGCGGAUUUGUAAGUCAGGGGUGAAAUCCCGGGGCUCAACCUCGGAACUGCCUUUGAUACUGCGAGUCUUGAGUCCGAUAGAGGUGGGUGGAAUUCCUAGUGUAGAGGUGAAAUUCGUAGAUAUUAGGAAGAACACCAGUGGCGAAGGCGGCCCACUGGAUCGGUACUGACGCUGAGGUGCGAAAGCGUGGGGAGCAAACAGG